UACGAAGGGGGCUAGCGUUGUUCGGAAUUACUGGGCGUAAAGGGCGCGUAGGCGGCGUGUCAAGUCAGGCGUGAAAGCCCCGGGCUCAACCUGGGAACCGCGCUUGAAACUGGCAUGCUCGAGUUCGGGAGAGGAUGGUGGAAUUCCCAGUGUAGAGGUGAAAUUCGUAGAUAUUGGGAAGAACACCGAUGGCGAAGGCAGCCAUCUGGACCGACACUGACGCUGAGGCGCGAAAGCGUGGGGAGCAAACAGG
RNAcentral lists this ribosomal RNA (253 nucleotides) under uncultured bacterium. RNAcentral's name for it is "partial 16S ribosomal RNA". It matches the Rfam family "Bacterial small subunit ribosomal RNA", at positions 524 to 776 of the family's 1533-position model. The record is from RNAcentral.